Molecule: long non-coding RNA, 502 nt
Filed under: Homo sapiens (human)
Lineage: Eukaryota; Metazoa; Chordata; Mammalia; Primates; Hominidae
Description: HSALNT0039628
Source: RNAcentral
UGCUUCUUCUGACACCUGGCUCUUUUUUUUCCACACUGGAUUCUUGUCACAAUAAGGCUGUUCUGUGUCAUGACCCAGACUUUCCUGAGCAAACUCUUCACCAGCAAUCAUGGGCUGUGUCUACCCAGUGCUGUCAGCUCAAGACCGUGUCGCUAGGACCAAAGGGAACUUCUUAGAGAUCACAUGUCAGAACAGUGACCCUGAUACAAUGGUGAGUGAGUCCACUUCUUCACUUCUGCUGUGUUCAGGCACGGAGCAGAUAUUUUACCUUAAUGGCCUCCAUAUGGGAAGAAUAUGACCAAACGCUUUGUUGGAAGAACUAUCUCCAACCCUGGGGGACCAGAGUGAGAAGGCAUAAAAUGCAGCAAGGGAGGCAGAAGGACCAUUGACCACAGCCUGUGGUAUGGCUGGGACAUGAGAAUGCUGAGCAAAAGAGAGGCAGUUCACCUGGGCGCUGAGCAGGCUUCCUGGAGGAGGUGGCCUAGAAAAUGCACUUAUGGAG